ACAGGUAUCCACCCUUAAUGAAGAACAGUCCUCAUUAUACAGGUAUCCACCCUUAAUGAAGAUCAUCAUUAUACAGGUAUCCACCCUUAAUGAAGAUCAUCAUUAUACAGGUAUCAACCCUUAAUGAAGAACAGUCCUCAUUAUACAGGUAUCCACCCUUAAUGAAGAUCAUCAUUAUACAGGUAUCUACCCUUAAUGAAGAACAGUCAUCAUUAUACA
Oncorhynchus keta (chum salmon) is the source of this 219-nucleotide long non-coding RNA. RefSeq lists it as uncharacterized. The record is from RefSeq and is a predicted model, not a curated record. The transcript is spliced from 3 exons. Lineage: Eukaryota; Metazoa; Chordata; Actinopteri; Salmoniformes; Salmonidae.